This 274-nucleotide ribosomal RNA is filed under the name uncultured bacterium. Its description in RNAcentral is "partial 16S ribosomal RNA". It matches the Rfam family "Bacterial small subunit ribosomal RNA", at positions 523 to 796 of the family's 1533-position model. The record is from RNAcentral.
AUACAGAGGGUGCGAGCGUUAAUCGGAGUUACUGGGCGUAAAGGGCGCGUAGGCGGAUGAUUAAGUCAGUUGUGAAAUCCCAGGGCUUAACCUUGGAACUGCAAUUGAUACUGAUUGACUAGAGUCGAAGAGAGGGAAGCGGAAUUUCCGGUGUAGCGGUGAAAUGCGUAGAUAUCGGAAGGAACACCCGUGGCGAAGGCGGCUUCCUGGCUUCAGACUGACGCUGAGGUGCGAAAGCGUGGGGAGCGAACAGGAUUAGAUACCCUAGUAGUCC